This 29-nucleotide non-coding RNA is filed under the name Rattus norvegicus (Norway rat). Lineage: Eukaryota; Metazoa; Chordata; Mammalia; Rodentia; Muridae. The record is from RNAcentral.
UACUAGUCUCGAAUCUGAUCUUGCUAGAU